ACUACUGUCCCUCCUAUCCUGCUGGAGAAUCUGUUAAGAGCCUUGAGAGUGUGAGAGUUGAGCUUCUUUCAGAUGUUAAGAAGAAGAACAACAGGGAAGUACUGAGAAUGAAAAUGGAAAAGACAUUUGCAUACAGGAGACAUGAAGUGGUUCGUGAUACACCAAUGAUACAAGACUUUCAGGCAAGAUGGCCAGCACUCUUUGACGUAAGCGAGAUAAAUGCUGAAUUUAAGCGGAUUACCACCAUGCCCCUUCAGUCCAGAUUUCUCUCUCAGUUAGAUGUGCACUCUGAGAAACUGAUGGUUCUGUUUAAAAAAAGAGGAGGACAAAUAGGCAAACACCUAGAGAGCAUCAUAGCACCCAUGGCUCAAAAUGAUGAUGUUGAUUUAGGACGAGAAUGUAUCAUCAAGGCAAUUUGUGUGUACCUCAACGAGGAUCCAGAAAACCUCUUUAGAGAG
Molecule: long non-coding RNA, 458 nt
Organism: Trichomycterus rosablanca
Lineage: Eukaryota; Metazoa; Chordata; Actinopteri; Siluriformes; Trichomycteridae
Exons: 3
Source: RefSeq, a predicted model, not a curated record